UUUUUUUUGUAUUUUUUAACAUGCUUGCAUGUGAAACUGUAAAUUUUUCUCAUUCAUAUGAAGGAGAUUGGAUUGAAU
Molecule: small RNA, 78 nt
Filed under: Arabidopsis thaliana (thale cress)
Lineage: Eukaryota; Viridiplantae; Streptophyta; Magnoliopsida; Brassicales; Brassicaceae
Description: ATSL289610
Source: RNAcentral